GCUCCCAUCGUCUAGCGGUUAGGACGCCGCCCUCUCAAGGCGGAAACAGGGGUUCAAAUCCCCUUGGGAGCGCCA
Molecule: transfer RNA, 75 nt
Filed under: Halorhodospira halochloris
Lineage: Bacteria; Pseudomonadati; Pseudomonadota; Gammaproteobacteria; Chromatiales; Ectothiorhodospiraceae
Also listed under: 2 other names
Description: tRNA-Glu
Rfam family: tRNA
About the family: Transfer RNA (tRNA) molecules are approximately 80 nucleotides in length. Their secondary structure includes four short double-helical elements and three loops (D, anti-codon, and T loops).
Source: RNAcentral